UCGCUCCUACCGAUUGAGUGCUCAGGUGAAUAAUUCGGCCCCCAGCAAUGUUCAGUUCCUGGGUGUUGCAGGGGAAAGUCUAGUAAACCUUAUCACUUAGAGGAAGGAG
RNAcentral lists this ribosomal RNA (109 nucleotides) under uncultured eukaryote. RNAcentral's name for it is "partial small subunit ribosomal RNA". It matches the Rfam family "Eukaryotic small subunit ribosomal RNA", at positions 1676 to 1785 of the family's 1831-position model. The record is from RNAcentral.